UUUUGGGGUGCGGCUCUCCCCUCCCCCAGCCCCAAAUUUCGGGGUCUCUCCCCCUGCAGGGGACGUGGCCGGGGGCUGCAAGCUGCUGCGGAACCGCUUCGAGAGCCGCGACCGGGAGUGGGCCUCCUACACCUGCGUGCUGGGCUUCCACGUCUUCGGGGUGUGGCCGGACGGCUCCGACGGCACCGACAUCAACUCGCUGUGCCGCUCGCACCACGAGCGCGUGGUGGCCGUGGCCGACGACUUCUGCAAGGUUCACCUGUUCCAGUACCCCUGUGCCCGGCCCAAGGCUCCCAGUCACGUGUACGGCGGGCACGGCGG
This is a long non-coding RNA of Passer montanus (Eurasian tree sparrow), 321 nucleotides long. RefSeq lists it as uncharacterized. The transcript is spliced from 3 exons. Lineage: Eukaryota; Metazoa; Chordata; Aves; Passeriformes; Passeridae. The record is from RefSeq and is a predicted model, not a curated record.